RNAcentral lists this transfer RNA (73 nucleotides) under Cordylochernes scorpioides. RNAcentral describes it as "tRNA-Thr". Lineage: Eukaryota; Metazoa; Arthropoda; Arachnida; Pseudoscorpiones; Chernetidae. The record is from RNAcentral.
GUUCAGGGAUGGGAAUUGAACCCACAGUGUUCCGCUUACCGGGCAGAUGCCAUGUCCACUAGGCUACCCUGGA